RNAcentral lists this small RNA (463 nucleotides) under Pongo abelii (Sumatran orangutan). Its description in RNAcentral is "sense intronic". Lineage: Eukaryota; Metazoa; Chordata; Mammalia; Primates; Hominidae. The record is from RNAcentral.
UCUGCAUCAACAAUUUCUGGAAGCAGAGAGUCCCUGAACCUUGGAGCAAGGAGAGAUGUAACAUACAACCUCGGAGGGGUUGGAGGAGAGGUCCAUGGAGAUCACUGGCUCAGCCUUCUCGUUUUCCAGAUGAUUUUUUUUUUAGUCCAAAGAGACUAAAUGACUUGACUAAGGCCACACAGCAUGUCAGCAGGCCAGCUAGGACUCCACCCACAGCCCCUGAGUCUGGGCAUCCCUGUGCUGUUUCUGAGCAAGGCUGCCUCACUUCAUUUUAGUUUAGUCUGUGUGACUUGAGCACAAGUUCUGCACACAAAACUGUGUAAGGCCACUAACAGCACUUACAGAGCAGUGCUAUCCCUUCCUUCCUUUGAAUGGUGGAGGUGGAGACAGUACAUACAAGAGUUAGUCAAGACAAGGAUGAGGGUGCAGGGAGGAAGCUGAGCCCUUCCAUGCCACCUCCAUG